AUGGUUUAUAAUUUAAAUUUAAACUAUAUAAACAGUGUAGGUGAGAGUAUCCUUCAUUUUUUUAAUCCCAAUUUGAAAUAUGAACAAAGAAUUACUAGAAACUGGUUUUUAAUACAACCUAUACCCGUUUUUAUAAUAAGUUUUAUUUAUAUAACGUUUUUAAUUGUUUCAUAUAUAUAUAUAAAUUAUAAUAUAUCAAAUGAAAAUAAAAAAAAGCUGACUACGUCACAAAAACAAGUAGCUGAUGCUUCUAAAAAUGCUAAAAGUAACAAUGCUACAAAUAGCAAUGCUACAGGAUCAAUAUUACAACAAGUUGUGCCUAUAUAUAACUUGAUACAAUUUGCGUUAAGUUUUAUUAUUUUGGUGUUUGUUAUUUAUGAAGGCAAAAAACGGAACUUUUAUUUUUAUUACAAUGAAUUUGAUGCUUCAAGAAAGGAAAUUGCUUUUUGGUGUUGGAUAUUUUACUUAAAUAAAGUGAUCGAUUUUUUUGAUACCAUAUUAAUUGUAUUGAAAAAGAAAUGGAAUCAAUUUAGUCUUUUACAUACGUAUCAUCACUUUACAGUUUUCAUAAUUAUGUGGAUUAACACGGCAGUUGGAUAUGAUGGUGACAUUUCCUAUAUUAUUGGUGUAAAGUAAGGACAAAAAAAUAAAAAUAAAUAAAGCAAAUAAUAAAAUAAAAAU
This 681-nucleotide long non-coding RNA is filed under the name Piliocolobus tephrosceles (Ugandan red Colobus). Its description in RNAcentral is "lncRNA (ENSPTEG00000014625.1)". Lineage: Eukaryota; Metazoa; Chordata; Mammalia; Primates; Cercopithecidae. The record is from RNAcentral.